Molecule: ribosomal RNA, 373 nt
Filed under: uncultured Prevotella sp.
Lineage: Bacteria; Pseudomonadati; Bacteroidota; Bacteroidia; Bacteroidales; Prevotellaceae
Description: bacterial SSU rRNA
Rfam family: Bacterial small subunit ribosomal RNA
Source: RNAcentral
UGAGGAAUAUUGGUCAAUGGGCGAGAGCCUGAACCAGCCAAGUAGCGUGCAGGAUGACGGCCCUACGGGUUGUAAACUGCUUUUAUGCGGGGAUAAAGUGAGGGAUGCAUCCCUUUUUGUAGGUACCGCAUGAAUAAGGACCGGCUAAUUCCGUGCCAGCAGCCGCGGUAAUACGGAAGGUCCGGGCGUUAUCCGGAUUUAUUGGGUUUAAAGGGAGCGUAGGCCGGAGAUUAAGCGUGUUGUGAAAUGCCGCGGCUCAACCGUGGCACUGCAGCGCGAACUGGUUUUCUUGAGUGCGCGCGACGCAGGCGGAAUUCGUGGUGUAGCGGUGAAAUGCUUAGAUAUCACGAGGAACCCCGAUUGCGAAGGCAGC